RNAcentral lists this ribosomal RNA (372 nucleotides) under uncultured organism. Its description in RNAcentral is "partial 16S ribosomal RNA". It matches the Rfam family "Bacterial small subunit ribosomal RNA", at positions 527 to 896 of the family's 1533-position model. The record is from RNAcentral.
GUAGGUGGCAAGCGUUGUCCGGAAUUAUUGGGCGUAAAGCGCGCGCAGGCGGUUCUUUAAGUCUGAUGUGAAAGCCCACGGCUCAACCGUGGAGGGUCAUUGGAAACUGGAGAACUUGAGUACAGAAGAGGAAAGCGGAAUUCCACGUGUAGCGGUGAAAUGCGUAGAGAUGUGGAGGAACACCAGUGGCGAAGGCGGCUUUCUGGUCUGUAACUGACGCUGAGGCGCGAAAGCGUGGGGAGCAAACAGGAUUAGAUACCCUGGUAGUCCACGCCGUAAACGAUGAGUGCUAAGUGUUAGGGGGUUUCCGCCCCCCUUAGUGCUGCAGCUAACGCAUUAAGCACUCCGCCUGGGAGUCCGGCCGCAAGGCUG